This 448-nucleotide ribosomal RNA is filed under the name Berberis vulgaris (European barberry). RNAcentral's name for it is "eukaryotic LSU rRNA". The stretch from base 308 to 448 matches the Rfam family "Eukaryotic large subunit ribosomal RNA", at positions 1 to 141 of the family's 3401-position model. The record is from RNAcentral. Lineage: Eukaryota; Viridiplantae; Streptophyta; Magnoliopsida; Ranunculales; Berberidaceae.
UGCAGAAUCCCGUGAACCAUCGAGUUUUUGAACGCAAGUUGCGCCCAAAGCCACUAGGCUGAGGGCACGUCUGCCUGGGCGUCACGCACAGCGUCGCGCUCAACACAAGCAAUGUUUUCGUGUUGAUGAGCGGAAGUUGGCCACCCGAGCUAUCUCAGCUCGGUAGGCCUAAAUGAUGGCCUCGAGCGAUGGGCAUCACGAUCUAUGGUGGUUUAGAACCCCUGUCGUCGUAGACCGGCGUCGUGUUUGCCUCGUUGAAUGCUCGAGCUGUACAAACCCUUGUGUGUUGCAUCUAACACUCACCUUGCGACCCCAGGUCAGGCGGGACUACCCGCUGAGUUUAAGCAUAUCAAUAAGCGGAGGAGAAGAAACUUACAAGGAUUCCCCUAGUAACGGCGAGCGAACCGGGAUCAGCCCAGCUUGAGAAUCGGGCGGCUUUGUCGUCCGA